RNAcentral lists this ribosomal RNA (313 nucleotides) under uncultured Arcobacter sp. RNAcentral's name for it is "bacterial SSU rRNA". It matches the Rfam family "Bacterial small subunit ribosomal RNA", at positions 29 to 334 of the family's 1533-position model. The record is from RNAcentral. Lineage: Bacteria; Pseudomonadati; Campylobacterota; Epsilonproteobacteria; Campylobacterales; Arcobacteraceae.
AGUGAACGCUGGCGGCGUGCUUAACACAUGCAAGUCGAACGAGAACGGAUAUUAGCUUGCUAAUAUUGUCAGCUAAGUGGCGCACGGGUGAGUAAUAUAUAGGUAACGUGCCCCAAAGAAGAGGAUAACAGUUGGAAACGACUGCUAAAACUCUAUAUGCCUUUAAGACUAAAGUCUGCAAGGGAAAUAUUUAUAGCUUUGGGAUCGGCCUGUACAGUAUCAGAUAGUUGGUGAGGUAAUGGCUCACCAAGUCAAUGACGCUUAACUGGUUUGAGAGGAUGAUCAGUCACACUGGAACUGAGACACGGUCCAG